This 204-nucleotide long non-coding RNA is filed under the name Gossypium barbadense (sea-island cotton). Its description in RNAcentral is "long non-coding RNA (GBAR_LNC002361)". Lineage: Eukaryota; Viridiplantae; Streptophyta; Magnoliopsida; Malvales; Malvaceae. The record is from RNAcentral.
UGCUCUUCGUCUCUCUUGUCUCUUCUCUGCUUCUUUCCUCUUUUGUUUUGCAUCCGGCUUAUAUCCCAAGCCAAAGUAAUCCCGCUUAUCAGUCAAGACUGCUACCUCGACCCCUCCAUAUAGAUACUUUCUGAGUCCUCUUUCAGACAAUGCUCCAUUUUCAACGAUCAAUUGUAAACCCAUUUUCGUAGCACUGGACACUUU